Molecule: small RNA, 555 nt
Filed under: Histoplasma capsulatum
Lineage: Eukaryota; Fungi; Ascomycota; Eurotiomycetes; Onygenales; Ajellomycetaceae
Also listed under: 1 other name
Description: hypothetical RNA
Source: RNAcentral
AUAAAAAGCCUUCACUGUGGAGUCAGUGAAUAUUAUAGAAGAACAGAUCUUCUAAUAUCUCUAGUUGAGAUAGUCACUGUUGAUAUUCUCUAGUUGAGAAUCACUUCUAGUUGGAGCAGUAUAUCAUCUACAAUCUCUAGUUGAGAUAGUCACUAUUGAUAUUCUCUAGUUAAGAAUCACUUCUAGUUGAAGCAGUAUAUUGUCUACAACCUCUAGUUGAGAUAGUCAGCUGUUGAUAUUCUCUAGUUAAGGAUGGAGCUUCUAGUUGAGGCAAAGUAUGUUUUUGAUGAUAGUUGAUGGUAAUGGUAAUACAGCAGAUUGGUGGAUUUUGCUUGUGUUUUUCUGUUUUUAUGGUUAUUGCUAUACAGGCAUCUAUUUCUAAUAGAGAAAUCAGGGUCCAAAUUUUGUAAUUAAUUAUUAUUGUGUUUUUGAAGAAUUUGAGCGAAGGGGGGGCUCUGCUGCCCUUUGUGGCCACACUGUAGCAAGGGGGGGUGUUAGGCAUUACUACAGCUACCCCAGGCACGUGCCACCUAACAUAUUGUGUUGCUCUCGCUU